CCCCACUCCACAAUUUUCCCCCUUAAUUCUUACACCCAGUUCCCUCCACACUCAUUUUCCAGUUUCCCACGCUUCCCACCCCCAACCACUCCGUUCAUUGAUCCCGCAUUCCCCUAAUUCCUACUUCCGCGCCCUUUGUUCCGCGCCAUUAAUCCUCACCUGGGCUUAUUGGAUUGGUCGAUUUCUGCUCGCCUUACAUCGUUGAGCUUCGGGUUUCCGAACGUCGACCGGGUUCCGGAGAUGUCCGUGUUUCAAAUUUGCUUCCUCCUCGUGAAAAGAAGAUGGCGGUAAAAUUGAUCGUAUCGAAAAUGGUGUAUCAUGAUCAAUCCUACCUUUAUUUGAAGGUAAGAUGCUUUAUUUAAUAUCAGUAUUUGUAGUAGAAUGCUUAAAUUGCUAAUAGAGAUGAAUUUUGUAGAGAUCGAGCCCGAAUUUAGUGCGAUAUUUCUGCUUAAAAUUUGUACUUUGCGAAGCUGUUCUUCGCGAUUCUUCUAUAAUUAUGCAUAUAUCAAAUCGCUUUAAUCUUCACUAAUAAAUAUCCUUGUAAAUCCGGUAAAGCUAGAAUGUUAGAAAUGUUCAUUUUUGGGUAUUUUGAGCCACCCAGACUACAUCUUUUGCAGCAAAAAUCAUGCAUACCAGUUUUCUGCGUUAACCAAUCGUUAACUAGACAAUUUUUCUCAAACAUAAAUAUACACAUCGCAUGCAACAAUUGUUUUUUAAAUGUAAUAGCCCUAUCUGACCCUCACUUUACCUAACUACCACAUUCUCACGAAAUGUUAUUAAAAUUUGACAGAUGUUGUGCAUUGCAAGUUCCAAGAAUGUUCCACUUGAAGAGUUGUUGAUUACGAAAAGUGAAUUCAUUUCAGAAGUACAAAUGAAAGGUAUACAGUUUUUCAUAUCUAAUUUGGCCCCUCCAUAUCAAUAAAGACACAGUUCAGUUUUUGAACACUUGGCGUACAUGUAUCUGCAAGAACGUCGCCAUAUUUGUUUUCCUGGGCCUGUUCACAGGCAUACAGUCCUAAUUAGUCAACCGGGCCUCAACCCAACUCAAUAGCAUAGUAUUUAGUGUUGUGUGCACAUUAAUAACUCAGGUCGACUUAUUAGGGCUCUAUGCCUGCGAACAGGCAAUCAUUUCUCACAGAUACAUAUAUGCCAAGCAUACCUAUUUUUUAAUCAAGACAAUGGAGUAAGGUUGCAUGAUUUAUAAAACUCUUAAUUGAAAAGGCAAUGAAUCUUUCAAAAUUGCUUCCAUGUGCAUGCCCACAUUAAAUCAAAACCCAUCAUUCAUUAAUUUCAUGUCUCAAUAUUUUUUUUCAAUUCUCCUAGAUAUAUGUUGGAUGGAUAUUGACUGAAGUUGUAUGGAUCAUGAAAGUAAUGUAUAUGAAAGGUCUUUACAUUUUAAUAUCUUAUUUAAGUAUGAAAUGCUUUGAACAUUAUAUGUUUGCCCGUGGUCUGAGUGGCUUUGUUUAUUGUUACGUUUCUUCUAAAAUCCUGGCAGAAUAUUGCAAAAAUAUUAUAAUUGCUAUCUUAGUCAUUCCUGACACACACAAAAAAUAAUAGAAACAUGAAAUAUUUUUUGUCACUCUUUCAGCCAGUAUAAGUUUGGGAAUUGCAGUUUCAUUGUUGCUGGAAUGGUUGAUUAAUUAAUUAAGUUUUGUUUGCCACUCAUCAUGGAAUGCCGCAAAUUUUCAAAGCAUUUCUGUUUCAGGAAAAGCCAAAAAAUGAUAAAUUGUUUGUCUUUUAAAAAGUUGAGAAAUUGCCUAUAAGAUGUGAAUCAGUAUGGAAUAUAUUUCUGUUUCCUGUUUGGAUCAACAGUUAAUAAAACACAAGAAAAUAUCUAUCUGAUAUUACAAUGUUUUUACAUUAAUUUAGAAAGAUUUUGUUUGUAUUGCAAUUUAUUGCAAAAAGUAAAACAAUUUGUCAUUAUUUGGCCUGAAGUAUAACAUCAAUUAAACAAUGAGAAAAUUGAGAUGGUUUUAUUUGAAAGCAAAAAUUUUCCUUUAGAUAUAUAAAGGCAUGUGGCUUCAGAUUUAAAAAAAUAAUUUGGCCAUUAAAUCGAGG
Molecule: long non-coding RNA, 2058 nt
Filed under: Paramuricea clavata
Lineage: Eukaryota; Metazoa; Cnidaria; Anthozoa; Malacalcyonacea; Plexauridae
Source: RNAcentral